This is a long non-coding RNA of Gasterosteus aculeatus aculeatus (three-spined stickleback), 5894 nucleotides long. The record is from Ensembl. Lineage: Eukaryota; Metazoa; Chordata; Actinopteri; Perciformes; Gasterosteidae.
CAUGCUCAACUGCCCGCUCACGGGAGUGACGGGUACACACAGAAAAGGGGAGGGAACACUGCCCUUAUAUGGGAAUGGUGCUCUUGAUAUCACGACCCAGGAAACAGUUACAGGUACAUGCAUUCCUACACUCUUAACAAUAACACAUUAUAAAAAUAGUAUUUUAAAGCAGUGGGCUUGUUACAUGCACCAAAUUAGGUUGUAGUCAGCACACAAAAUGUCAGCAGUUAAAGUCCCACAAAGACACUGACGUAGUUUGACAGGUAAUUAUGUGCACAAUUUUUAUUUGUGCAUAGAAACACUAAAUCUAAUGAUUUAAUGAGGUUAUUAAUACAUUUCAACAUCCCAUCUUCAUAUGACUUCAUGGAAGAACUCAGAAUUUAGACUCAUUUCCCAUCAUGAGGAGAGAUUCAUGUGAGCUCCACAUUUAGGCCGAUACUACUACCUUCGGUCGUGGCAGCCGUAUUUAUAUUUGGCAGAUUUAUUUGUAAGGGGAUUAAAUUACCCCAAACUACCUAACACAGAGUGGGAGUUCUCUCAUGUGUGCACCCCCCCCCCCCCUCUCCCCUCCGUGUGAGGAAAUGUAAAACUUCUUGGUGUGUUAUUUUUCUCCCCACCGUUUGUUCUUUUGAUCUGUGUGUACAUUAUCUCCAGCUCUUUGAAUUUCAAUUUUGCUGUCAUGUAAGCUCUUUUCAUCACAGCCGACGGUUUGCAGCUCUAAUAAUAUUCAACUUUUAGGUCACAGUGGAAUGAUAAUUAGAUUGCUUCUUUAAUUAAUAUGUCCCUGCAGGUUUCCAUAUCAAAUCAGUUUUAACACCACGCUUUGCACUUUGAGCCAAUAAAUUGCAAUGAAAACCCUAAAAAAGAAAAAGAAAUGAGGAUUUUAAAGGUGUACAGGAGCAGCGCUCGCUUGAACUGUGUUUACAUAAAUUGCUCAUAGUUGGUUAAUAAAACUGCUUAAUUUCGAUCACAUAUGAGCACGUUGGAAAGUGUUUCAAUACGACAUAAUGGAUGUUUCUAUUUUCUACUAAGAAAUCUCUCUCUGCUCCUGAGAUAGAAGCCUCAGCUUUGCUGGUUAUCUUCAAGGGCAGCAGUGUUAGAAAUGCUUUAAACACAAGUAGAUAAGUGUAAGUGUAACAUUGCACACUGUGUGUGUGUGUGUGUGUGUGUGUGUGUGUGUGUGUGUGUGUGUGUGUGUGUGUGUGUGUAUGUGCAUGCUUCUAGUGGCAUUUAAGGACUUAAAAGUGCUUCAGUUUCCAUCAGAGUGUCAUUUGUCUGUCAGCAUUUCUGUGUGUGUGUGUGUGUGUGUGUGUGUCACUCUGGAUUCUCCAAUGGUUGUUUGGUCCUGCAGCUGAGCGUGUCCCAUUCAUCAUGUUGAGAGGGAACAGAGAGGCCCGGGAUAUGAGCACCGCUGUAUUCCUCUCAUAAUCAAAGGUCAUACCGGGGCUCUGUGUUCAAAUUGCUUUACUUCACUGCACGCACACGCCUGCGCACACGCACUGAGGACACACAUACAAAUUAGUUGUCAUGACAAAAUUAGGCCGUGAAAAAUGCAGUGUUCUAAGACAGGUCUCCAUCCAAACGCACUUUAGAGGUUGUAAUGUGCAUCUUUCAGCGACCUGUGAGUGUAUUGCGUUGACUUUAAAUCUCCAUCUUCAAAAUUUUCUUUUUCAUGAGAAAUUAUGAUUGCAAAGUUUUUGUCCAGUGCUCACUUCAAUUAUGCACAGCCUCCUUAAGAGGAGCAGAGACAGGCCUUUGCACACUAACAAAAAAUUGAUAUUCAUGGAUGGGGAGGGAGGGUGGAAACUAUUUGGAUGUUUAUUAUACUUUAAAAUGAAGUGAUCCAUAUUUCGCUGCCUGCGUGGUAAUUAAUGUAGGAAAAGCUUGAAUUAAAGAUGUAAAUCCUGACACUUUGGCAGGGGGGGGGGCGCCGGUAAGGGACAGUGGUCUCAGAGGUCUAGAUUAUUCUUAGCGUAUACCAAUUAACACCAUGUAUCUUCUUUUAUGUUCUCUUCAAUUAGGGGCCUUUACAAUUUUUUAAGUUCUUUUCUUCUCAGUAGUUAGAGAAUGUCAGGGAGACUGAUCAAAGGCGUGAGCUGCCGUCCGCGCACCAUAGGUAAUGCUGCUUUGCAUAAGGAAAUCUGCAUAUCGCUAAGAAGGUUUUCAUUUCAGUUUGCAUGAAUUACCGAGCCGGCACACGGAGAUGUGGAGGCGCGCACGGGGCUCACAAACAAAACCAGACGACGCGCCAUUCACUGAAUCCUCCAACUUCUUUAAAUCCUGGGACCAGCGCGGCAGCAUGGUGACAAUAUGGAGGCGAAACUGGCCCGACACCAGUUAAAUGAAUGAAUCCUGUGUAUUUAUAUUUUGUUCCCCCAGCUGUUGUAUGCAAGGCUUUGGUUACCAGCUUAUUCUCACCAUUAAGAGUGAGUGUUAAUGAGAGAGAACUGCUUCUUAACUGCUUCUCGUGAAGUGAACCGGAUUCACGUGCCGUGAAUUUGGUGCUUGUUCUCCAGAUCGGCGUCUUUAAGAAGGCCUCCAAAUCAGAGCGGGCCCAACGGCUUUCUCCUCCACUCCACCGCUUUGCUCAUUUGCUUUUCUGCUCCUCCUGUCCUCCUUUCCUCUUAUUACCUAGUUUUUAGCCUCGGGACCUUCUGUCUCAAAUGGUCAAAUGAGAAUAACACAUUACACAACCCAGCAGUUUGGGAACCUCUCUUUAUAUUUUUGAAAAUAAUACAGGAGGACAUAUUUUCAUGCGCCUCUGCAUAUUGCAGAUUGGAAUACAUGCACGCAUUUGUGCACGGUUCCGUGUUGCCGGUGUUGAAACUCCUGACAGAUGCAGGGGUGGAAACAAACCAACAAACAACCUGUUCCCGGUCGUGUUAAUCACUGCUCACUUAAUUCCAUUACACCGUCGGCCACCAAUAAAUCAAUGAGCAAAUGAACUGACCGGCUAUGAGGAAUAGUCAUCCAGAGCGUGUCUGUAUUAUGCUAUUGAUGUUCCACCAGCAGGAGAUAUCGAAUGCUCUUUAGGCAAAGUGCUGACAUCAUAAUAAAAGGGCCGCCGCAAACUGGCCGGCUGUUCGUUCUGGGAGCUGCGAGCGAAAGAGACGGACGGCCUCUGAAGAAGAGGAAAAAGAAGAAAGGCCGUCUUCAAAGUCAAUACUGCGACCAAGUGCUCUAUGAGGUCGCAUUUACUGCACAUAAUGAAACUACAAAUAGCCUCUCGCACAAAGCACACAGAUGCACUAAUACGAGAGGAAGGCAUGGAAAUGGCGCUUUAGUCAGAAUAAUUAUACUACAACUGGGAUGAUAAAUAACGUGCUCAGUGGUUUCUUUUGACACUAAUAACACGGUUGACUUGUUUUGAAAUCUGUCAGUUUAAUUGAAGUCUUUCCUGAUCCACAAAAAAAAUAAAUAUCUAGAAUAAAAAUAAAAAUCUAGAUUUGUGGAAUAUAUAUCAAAAUUGACAUUGCAUAGAGUUUAUUUUUAAAUCUACUCAGAUGCACUUUCACCCCGGCGAGCGUGCAUCUGUACGUGACUUUUGUGAUGACAGUAUAUUUAAACCUUUGUUCCUGACUUCCUUAAAAGAAAUGAAAGAGAAAAAAAUGAAGGUUUGGCAAAUUCAAACAUCAAAACACGAAGUUGGGUGCUCCUUCUGUGUAGCUGUGGGUUUUCAUAACCCGGGUGUCUGGAAGCAUUAUGAGCAAAAGCCCUCCUCUUGCUCGGCGUUGCGUUUCUCGGGGGGGCCGAUAGCAGCAGUGCGAGGAGGCUGCAGGAGGGCGCGCACACGCAGCACAGACAGCCAUCUAGUGUCAGAAGGGAGCACGUGCACCGAGAAGCUCCUCCGGUCGGCCAUCAUCAGUGUCAGCGUUGCUCCACGUGUACACGCGGUUCGGGGACGGGGGCCAUCCUUCAUGAUCCCGUGGACUGUAUCCCUACGAUCAUUAAUCCCACUGGAGACGCAGGCCUUUGGAUUCAUUCACCCAGCGCCAGUGACAGGGAAUGAUGUUUGAGAUUUAGCACCCGCACCCUGCAAGGAGGCUGUUGAUGACCCACGACGGGCUCCUCGUUAUCUGCCUUUUGUUUUUAUUUCAUUCUAUUACUUUUUUACUUAUGGAUGUCUGUUAUCUGAGCUUUCUCUCUUUUCCAUUGUUUUGUUGUGUUUUCUUUCCCACAGAUUAAGGUAUUAAGGAACAUAGACCGCCCUCCAUUAUAUGUUCGGUUUCUCUUUCUUUUGCAUAUGUGUUAACAAAUAAACGACAGCACUGUGACAUGCACUGCCUUCCUUCGGUUUUAAACUCUCAGUCAGAGCAGAUAAGUAAAAAUAGAUAUCACAAUGCACUGACAAAACCCGGAUGAAGCACAGAGUUAUACGUUGCAAGGCAUCAUUACAGCCGUGACUUGAAGACAAAAAAACUCUUGUGUGUGCUGUGGAACGAGGAAACACAAGGUAGGCUAAUGGCCAGAGGUCUUGUGUUCAGCCCACACGGGGCGCAGCGCUCCUGGUUUAGCCUAAUAACUAGCCUGCUGAGAGAGCUUCACCUCUCCCAGGGAUACAACUGAAAUAACAAGGCAUCGCUUCCUGGACAUUGUGUCCACCUCCUUUACGCGAAAAAAUUGCCUUGUCUUCGUGUCUUAUGUGCCCCCCACCACUCCUCCCCCCAAGAGUUUCCAUUAACAGAUUCGACCUAAACAAACAUUAUGAACAAAUGUGUGCUAUUGUGUGCAUAUUGGGAGCAUGAAUAUGUAUUUGCCGAGUGCUCAGACAGACACAAAGGGAGGCCCAACCUGUUAUCGACUCGUUGUGAAAACCGUGCUCCCUUAAUAAUCCCGCCUCAUUAUGACAAUAGAUGUUAGGCUAAACACAUAAGCACAAGGAGACAGGAGCACGUGCUGACAAACGCGCAUUAAUACUGUACGCCGUUUUUAUCUUCUGACACGUUUAUACAGGCCGAGUCUGUAGAAAAACAAUUAGUGUAUCUUCUAAUUGCUUUUUAUUGAUCCUGUUCGACCAGGUGCCCAAUGUUCAUCCUUUGUCUGCUUGUCCCACUCAGAGAAGCACAACUCUCUUUAAGUUGCAGGAGAGGAUUGUUCCACUGUUCUGUGGAGAAAACCCAGACGGGAGCAAUUUACUGUUCUGUGCAUGUGUAAUUGCAUAAAACAAGAAAUCUCCCGGUCUGUUGCCACUGACCGUGUAGCCCCAAAGAUGGAGAAGUGAGCAAAUAUCAAAGGUUGCCACAGGCAGAGGCUUCAUCACCUACAGGCGAGAGGAUGGGCGAGGUGGGGCAGACAAAAUGGAGUACAACAUGAAGUCUGUUCAGGAGGCCAGGUUUACGUUGGAGGCCAAGCUCACCCUUAUUAGGUUUACGUUGGAGGCCAAGCUCACCCUUAUUAGGUUUACGCUGGAGGCCAAACUCACCCUUAUUAGGUUUACGCUGGAGGCCAAACUCACCCUUGUUAGGUUUACGUUAGAGGCCAAGCUCACCCUUAUUAGGUUUACGUUGGAGGCCAAGCUCACCCUUGUUAGGUUUACGUUGGAGGCCAAGCUCACCCUUAUUAGGUUUACGUUGGAGGCCAAGCUCAUCCUUGUUAGUUUUACGUUAGAGGCCAAGCUCACCCUUGUUAGGUUUACGUUAGAGGCCAAGCUCACCCUUAUUAGGUUUACGUUGGAGGCCAAACUCAUCCUUGUUAGGUUUACGUUAGAGGCCAAGCUCACCUUUGUUAGGUUUACGUUGGAAGCCAUGCUCACCCUUGUUAGGUUUACGUUAGAGGCCAAGCUCACCCUUGUUAGGUUUACGUUAGAGGCCAAGCUCACCCUUGUUAAGGUUUACGUUGGAGGCCAAGCUCACCUUUGUUAGGUUUACGUUGGAGGCCAUGCUCACCCUAUUAGG